Long non-coding RNA from Eriocheir sinensis (Chinese mitten crab), 10098 nucleotides. RefSeq lists it as uncharacterized. The transcript has 2 exons. The record is from RefSeq and is a predicted model, not a curated record. Lineage: Eukaryota; Metazoa; Arthropoda; Malacostraca; Decapoda; Varunidae.
GAGAACUCCCGUGAUUAUUGCGUAGAGGCCGUUGCAAGGAGCAGGAUCUCUCUCUCUCUCUCUCUCUCUCUCUCUGUGGGUGGGAAGAGAGCCAGUUUAAGGGCGUCCAUAUCUCUGCUUGUGUAUUCCUGGGUCUGUCUGUCUGUCUGUAUGUAUGUAUGUAUGUAUGUAUGUAUGCCACUUCAGUCUGUCAGUGUUGGGUUGUCUGGGCCUGUUUUAUUUAUAUGUUUGUUGUUGUUGUUGUUGUUUUGUUGUUUUAAGCCUGCAUUGUUUUUCGUCUUUUUCUUCUUCGUCUUCGUUUUCUUCUUUUUUUUCCUUUAUCCUCUUCUUUAACUCUUCUUCUUCUUCUUCUUCUUCUUCUUCUUUUUCUUCUUCUUUUUCCUCUUCUUCGUUUUCUCUUUCCUCCUCCUCCUCCUCCUCCUCCUCUAACUCAUGUCUACUCAGUUCUAAUCAGCCAUAAUUUUUUCCUCUCAAUGUGCAAGCACGCGAAGGUCAACACACACACACACACACACACACACACACACACUCAUAACCACGGUGGCUGCACACAUAAAUAUUUGCACAUCUUUACUGCGCAUUCUGUAAGUCUUUUUAAAACACUGUGCAUUCCUUUACUAUUUUUUAUAACUGUGCGAAAAAAAAAAAUAUGCGUGUGCGUGCGUGCGUGUGUGGGAGAGAGGGAGGGAGAAGGGGGGAGGGUCUGUUCACUAUAAUAGCCUACUUCACUUUAACAACCACAACUAGGCUGUAUUUCACACUAUCUCAGCCUCUUGUAUAUAGUUUGACUCCUGUGGGAUGCUCCGAGGUCUUUAAAUCGAUGCAGUAUAUAUAUUUUUUACCCAGGAGUCAUACCGGGUUCAUCGCCUCCUUACCCCGUGCAUUAUAUCAUUUCACGCGAGUUUAAUCCCUUGAGCGCGCACGGCAGCACAUCGCACAUUGCUCCCUCUCCGGUCACGGCGCGCUGCUCGGUCUUGGCGCUACAUUCUAAAUUCUAAAACAUUCCGGUCCCUUUGCACAUUUCGAUUUCGUAGGCGUUUCGGGCAUUUCCAGAGGUGCUUCUAUGACACUGGUGGUAGUUUGAUCCUUCCUCUGUACCAUGAACGUGACAAAACACUCAUGGGAACCCGAUUAACCACCUUUUUGGGCCUUGGAAGUAGAUGACGUGAGAGGGGAGAGGAGCAGCCAGGGAAGCGUUGAUUGGUGCCUCCACGCCCCGUUACGAACACAGACCGCCACGCCCACCCUCUUAGAAGAUCAGAGUUGACGCCCCUCACGAGCCCCCCAUGUUAAGUUAUAGGAAAAUGUAUAUAUUGGAAAAUGUAGCUAUUGACCUUGUAGAAACUGGCUGUAGACCACCGCUUUACAUCUUAUUUAACAACAAAGGAGACAGCUCAAGGGCACACAAAAAAAGGAAACAAUAAUAAAAAAAAGCCCGCUACUCGCUGCUCCUAAAAAAAGAAUCAAAAGAAGUGGCCGAAAGAGGGGUCAAUUUCGGGAGGAGAGGUUACUACUUUCCCCGCGGAUCUGUUCAUAAGUAGAUUCUUGGAUACACCACACAACCACAACCACCUUCUAUUCCUCUCUCCUCCAUUUCCCAACCGUUCGUGCACCUUAGAAAUCAGCCCCAUAACCUCGACAAUAUUUUUUUAUCCUUCUGUUACUCUCUCUUCCUUCUUCUAUUCCUCUUCCCACCUUUCCUAAAACCUCUCACACCUUUUCAAGUCACCACUACCACCAACAUCACUUUUUAUCAUCCUAUUCUCGUAGCAUUUGAAAUCACUACCACCACGACUAUCAAUUUUUCAUUCUCACUCCUCGCAUUUCUUUUCCCAACUCUUGACAUAUUAAAAUCACUAUCAUCACCACUAACAUCACCUUUUUAUCAUCCUUUUCCUUUAUCGUCCUUUCCCCAACCCUAGAAUCACAACCAUUAUCACCACCAUAUCUACUAGCAACACCAGUUCUACCACCACUAGUAGUAACAACAAUUAAAAACAACAAACAUUACAAUACUCUUUACACGUACCAUAUGUGCUUGCAACCUUCCCCUCCCCACCCCAUCUGCUUUCUUUCUAUCUCUCAUUUCUUAUGCUCCCCCUCUUCCCCUCCUCCCUUCUCUCUCCUUCCUUCCAGCUGAUCAAACAAAGCAUCAUAUAACACGAACAAGCUAAAGCCGGGUUAGUGGUGGUGGUGGUACUGGUGGUUGUGGUCUCGUGUGCUAGUUGUGGUGGAGUUUGUGGUUGCCAGACUGUUUGAGGGGUGGUGGAUGUAAUGUGGAAUGUAAUGUAAUGUGGGUGUGGGAGUUGUUGAUACUGGAACUCUAUAGGAACGUGGAAUUGAAGUUACGCUCCGGUGAAACGUGUAGCCUACUAUAAGGAAAAAACGUUUAGCCUACUAUUAGGAAAAAACGUGUAGCCUACUUUAAGGAAAAAACGUUUAGCCUACUUUAAGGAAAAAACGUUUAGCCUACUAUAAGGAAAAAACGUGUAGCCUACUUUAAGGAAAAAACGUGUAGCCUACUAUAAGGAAAAAACGUUUAGCCUACUUUAAGGAAAAAACGUGUAGCCUACUUUAAGGAAAAAACGUGUAGCCUACUUUAAGGAAAAAACGUUUAGCCUACUAUAAGGAAAAAACGUGUAGCCUACUUUAAGGAAAAAACGUUUAGCCUACUAUAAGGAAAAAACGUGUAGCCUACUUUAAGGAAAAAACGUGUAGCCUACUAUAAGGAAAAAACGUGUAGCCUACUAUAAGGAAAAAAACGUGUAGCCUACUAUAAGGAAAAAACGUGUAGCCUACUAUAAGGAAAACACGUGUAGCCUACUAUAAGGAAAAAACGUGUAGCCUACUUUAAGGAAAAAACGUGUAGCCUACUUUAAGGAAAAAACGUGUAGCCUACUAUAAGGAAAAAACGUGUAGCCUACUAUAAGGAAAAAACGUGUAGCCUACUAUAAGGAAAAAACGUGUAGCCUACUAUAAGGAAAAAACGUGUAGCCUACUAUAAGGAAAAAACGUGUAGCCUACUAUAAGGAAAAAACGUGUAGCCUACUAUAAGGAAAAAACGUGUAGCCUACUAUAAGGAAAAAACAUUAGUAUUGUUAUGUUAAGGGAUGGCAAGCACUUUUUAAACUUCAAGAACGUGGAAUUAAAAAAGAAAAAAAAGGGUUUGCACUCCAUUGAAACGUAUACUAUAAAAGAUUAGCCUAAGAUCAGUAUUGUUAUGUUGGACCGUCCCUUUAAAAACUGAACUUUCGUGGUUAUUUGAUUUUCUUUAAUACAGGAAUAGGAUACAGGAAUUACUAAGAACGUAGCAUAAGAAAAAAAAGCUGUUUAUGCUCCUGUGAAACGCUGUACUAUAAAAAAAUACGGUUGAUAUCAUGUUGAACUGCCCCUUAAAAAAAUAACUCCCUGGAACUAUACGAACGAUGAAUGAUUGGCUAAUAUAAAGGUUUUUACGCCUUGAACAGAAUAUAUUAUGAGACAUAUUGUACAGAGUUAGAUCAUUAAUUCUGUUGUGGUGAGCUGUCUUAAGAUAAUUAACUUUCCUGAUUAUUUGAUUUUCUUACAAGUUUUUUUUUUUCUGUUGUGGUGAGCUGUCUUAAAAUAAUGAACUUUCCUGAUUAUUUGAUUUUCUUACAAUUUUUUUUUUCCCGGGUAUGUUGUCAUGCUAGAUAUCUGCUUGGCUUUCACUCCUCAAAUUCAAUUCUCUGCGUCAUAAGUCCUGUAAGAUAUUGCGGCGCCAAGUGCUUGCUCUGUCAGCCAGUCAAACAGUCUUGCACACUCUUUUACCCUCCCACUCUGUAAGCGAUAAGGGAGUCUUGAGGUUAAGGGCAGAUUUAAAAAAAGGUCAUAUUAGUACUUAUUAAGUUAUGACGCUAGUUUGGCUUUUUGAUUCUAAUUUUGAGACGGAGUUAGUUAGAAGUGUUAGAUUUUCACAGUUAAGUCAACAUAUUACAAUCUGAGUCGUAUAAUCUGAUACAUAACAAAACCAACUAAUAACGCCUUGAAAAACGGGUUAAAAAGGACAAACCAACCAUAUUUUUGUUAGUAAAGCCGUUAGUAAAGUUAUUAGUGAAGACAUAUUUUUAGUGAGGACAUUGGUAAAGACAUCAGUCAUUUGCAUCUUGGCCGUUUGCUGUCAAGUGUCGGGAUGAGUUAUGCAAACCCACACCUUCAAAACUGGUCAACAAACAAAGAAACUAGGAAACCAGCCUCAUUAUUGUUAGUAAAGACGUUAGUAAAGGUUAUAGCAAAGACGUAAGACUCAUUUGCAUCUUGGCCGUUUGCUGUCGAGUGUCGGGAUGAGUUAUGCAAACCAACACCUUCAAAAACUGGUCAACAAAAAAACAAACAAAGAAACCAGCCUCGUUAUUGUUAGUAAAGACGUUAGUAAAGGUUAUAGUAAAGACGUAAGGCUCAUUUGCUUCUCCUCUUGCUGUCGAGUGUCAAGAUGAGUUGUGCAAAACCCUGUAGCUGUUUAUGCGACGAGAGUUACAAGCAAGACGAUGAUGUGGCAGCCUCGUUGUGGUGAUGACUCCGUGUGUUUCCUUAAUGUUUCCCGCGUGACUGACUGUAUGGUUGGUUACACGGUCGUCUGUCUCUUGAGGCUUCUCUUAGGCAAUGGCACUUUCGAAACACACUCCUUCUCGUUGCGUUUGUGAGGAGUUAGAGGAUGCGAAGAGUACUGGCUGUAUCAUGAUGUUAGUUGAUGCUUUGAGUUAGUGGUAUUGAUGUAUUCCGAGCAUGUAUUACAGACAAUCUCUUUCUUUUAGUGUUCAUGAAGAGUUAGAGAGGAGGCGAGGUAGUGGCUGUUAUGUUUAGUGUUUAUUAUGGAAGAAUGUAUUGAAUGUUUUGCUUUGAGGGGUUGGUAUUGAUGUUUUUAGAAUUUAUAUGACAAGUAAACAAACAAAUCCAUUCUCGCACUGUUCUUGAAGAGUUAAAAAGCGUGUCAAAUGUCAUGUCUGAUAUGUUAUGUUUAAAAGGAAGGAUUGAUGCGUUUAGUGACUGAUAUUGACGUGUUCGAAGCUUAUGUUACUGUAAGCUUGUCAAGUUUAGUUAUAUUAGCUUCGCAUUACUGAGGAUUAUUUUCUAUAGACUCUUCAUGAACUCCUAAGACAACGGUCGGUAUUAAGACACUAUCGCUUCUCAAAUCUGCUAUUUCUAAAGGUCAAAGAGGGAGUCAGUCGGGUUCUAAUGAGUCUUUCCUUAGGUUCAUGAUACAGAAGAAGGGUCAUACUACCACCAGGCGCAUAAAACCACAGGAAAUGCCCAAAACUCCUCGGAAAGCCUUGGGAAAUAUGUGACUUGGGUGACGAAAUGUUUAGUAAUACCUACGGCCCUACAUGUUGGUGAUGACAAAGCAUGAUACAAAUUUAGAACCACAGCAAGAGGCAAUUAUUUAUGAAGGUUUAUGAAAGACAGACCACGACAUAGACCGCGAAACUGAUGUAGCAACGUAUAUGCAAUCAGACUUCGUAACUUGGUAAAUGAAAGCGAGGAAUAGCCUAGGAAGUGUUGCGUGCCACAUUCACAGUAGGCUAUUCUAAACCUUAUCAUUAUUAACAUUCCCAGUGUCUAUCCUUACGAUGAAUUUGUCAAGUAACCGUUGCUUGAUUUAUUAAACGUCGUAUUAGUGUUUGCUAGUAAUAAUGUAGUUGAUUUGUUUCUUUUGAUGAGUUUUUGAAGGCGUGGUUAAUAGGCUUCGUUGAUUUUUUUUUAUAUCAGUUUGUACGACUUAGUUUGUAAUGUCUUCUUCACCGUAUGGAAAUCCAACCUUUCUAAAUUACUUCGUCCUCAAAAAGUGGAACUAAAAAGUUAACCCAGCCUCAUAACUAAUAAAUUCUAACAUGGCAAUACGACGUUUAAAAAAUCUAUAUCGUUUAAAAAAUCUACUCGCGAUGAUUUUGUACAGUAACCAUGAGAAGUAUAACCCUGCUGGGAAGAUAUAGCCUCACACAACUUAAAUAGGAGCUGGUCUAUACAGAUAUUAUGAUUGGUAUUCUCAGAUCAACAAUUUCCAGAGAUCGUAAGGAAGUUAAAUCGGGUUCUAAUGAGUAUUUUUUUAGGUUCAUGAUACAGAGGAAUGGCCAAAUUACUACCAGGGUGUUAAAACUAGCUCAGGAAAUGCCCCAAAACUCCUAAGAAAGCCUUGUGGAAUAAUAUAUGUGUACUUGGGCGCCGAAAUGCUGUAGAAUAUAUCCCUGAUUAAAGUUGCAGAAAAAUCUCCUCCUCCGGCAAUGAAGUCAUAAUGAUUUUUUUUUUUUACAGCAGAGGAGUGGAAGGGCGUAAAAAAAAGAAGAGGAGACAGUGCAACGGCGUAAAAAAAAAAAAAGAAAACAAUAUGAAAAAAAAGCCCGCUACUUACUGCUCAUGAAUAGAGUGGCCAAAAAGAGAAAUCAGUAUACGGACAAACUUGCAGCCGUGAAUGUCAAAGGGCUGUCGAACUUGAGCGCUUUCGGAUGGGCGUUAAUUAUGGAGGUGGAUGACUGUACAUGGAAUAUCUGCGGACCUCGUUUAGUGAUAGUUUGCUGGCCCGCUAAUGUUGUUUAUCUUAGGACUGUGUUAAGCAGCUAAGUGUCGCCUCCUCGAGAAAAUGACGGGCUCUUGGGGGAGAUAAUCUUGCUAAACACCACCUCACUCCCUUCUCUCUCUCUCUCUCUCACACACACACACACACACGCACACACACACACAUGAAGGCGCCAGUUGUAAAGACUAAUGUGUAACUUAGGAGGUUUUUACACGCAUAUUGCAUGUUGAAGGGGAGGGAAUGAGAGCGUCUUGAAAUGAUUAGACCGUGUGUUUGUGUGUGUGUGUGUGUGUGUGUUAACCUCCCCCCCCACCACACACACAAACACAGAAUAAUUAUUUCAAGCUCUCAUUCCCUGCCCUUGAACACGCAAAAUGGAGAUGGGAUUCAGUCGGAUAAAACCCAGAUGGAACUCUAAAAAGGGGGAAUGAGAUAUAGAAGACUAGAUGUGUUAAUGAUGUGAAGAUAUUUAGUUCUCCAUAUAAAAGUAUUAAUGUUUGAAAUGCAUUAGAUAAGGUGGUACAAUACAGGCAAGGGACAUUCACGACUUUAAAACUGAGCUGGAUAAAAAUUGAUAGGAGACGAAUACGAAGCUAAUUCUAAUAUAUACUGUAACAACGUAAACACACACACACACACACACACACACACACACACAGACAGAGCUGGAUUGACGUGUCGCACCUAGAGUUACAGAGCUUAAAAUAGUCAUGAGCAAGCUCCGGGAAACUUUGGGCAUUUAACUGUGACGAGGAGAGGGCGUGAAAGAGGAGCCAGCGAGGGAGACGAAGGAUGUGGAGGGGAGGUGAUGGAGGCCUUGAACGACGAAAACGAGAGUCGGUAGGGGGUGCAGGACACUUUCUGUUUUCACAUCAGCUAUUUCUAAAGGUCAAAGAGGGGGUCAAUCGGGUUUUAAUAAGUGUUUUAUUAGGUUCACGAUACAGAGGAAGGGUCAAACUACCACCAGGGUCACAGAACUACUGAAAAUGCCCAAAACUCCUACGAAAGGCUUGACAAAUAGGUGAACUUGGGCGACGAAAUGUUUUAAAAUACGACCGAUAGCCUAUUAUCUCUUGUUCUCUGCUACCUCUUUGAAUCAGUACCGUCACCCAAGCAAUGAUACCAAGUCCGCGAGUCCACCCCUCAAGGAUUAGGCCCGCCAACUCCCGUGGAACCGACUUUAGUGGACCGCUCAAGUAUUCUUCCACCGCCAGCGACCCGGUUCUCGCUUGCUGGUGCCUCCUCCCUUGUUUCUCAAUCCCGGCCGGGCAGUCUCGGGGUCUUAUGGGUCCACCUUAUUAAUGCAACUCCAGCCCUGGCCAGCGCUGUCGUCAGUCAUCCGUGGCUGUUAUGGCGGCCAGAGGUGAAGGGCGAGGAAUGCGAUAAGAGAUCUGAGGGGCGGGGAAAAAAUAGAGGAUGACCGCUGGCGCCAGAGAGUCGGCUCCUGUGUUUGGAUAAUUAAGACGAUUGCUCAGAUGUAAAGUUCAGCCAUUGUGGAGGUUUGGUGGCGUGGUUGUUGUUGUUGCUAGAGCCGUGUUGCCCUGCUUGACAUCACCGGGGAGGAGGGGGGGGGGGGGGGGGCAACCAUGCAGGUGGAGGUUCACGAAGGAGAAUUAAUCACGCCGGAGGGGCCAGGCCAAGGCACGGCGUCUCCCAGAGUUACCAAAUUAUCGUACUCAGACACUCAGCACAUUGUAUUUUCCGGUUCUGAGUCACAGCUAUCGCAAACAAACGCCAAUGAUUGAUGCUUUUAACGAGAACUUUAACUGGAAUUUCGUUAUCUGUGUGGGUAGGAAAGUUUUGGGCCCUGGAACUGAUAAAUGUGAUGUUUUGAGUACGAUAAUUUGGCAACCCUAGCGUCGCCCCAGUCUGACGGAGCGCCGCCACCCCCACCUUGAGUCCCUGGCCGCCACCUGCCCGUCAGCGUGAUGCUCGAUACCUUUCCGUGUGCGGCUAUCGCGUAUUUCUGGGGCGUUAUCAGACUGCCGCUAGUGAUAGGAGGUGAUAGUAGGUGACAUUAAACAAAACAUCCGGGGAUACGAAUCUAUCAUCGACAUAUCAUUCUACACGUGCUGGAGGUUCGAGGAUGAGUCGUAUUUUGUUCCCAUUAUCGUCAUGAAUGUGAAUGCGUCACUUCAUGCUAUAUUAUUUUUUUAUUUGUGACUAACUGGAUUAACCCGGUAGCAGCGACGGGCCAAAUUUGUGGCUUUACCGUGUACCAGCGACGGGCCAAAUUUGUGGCUUUACCGUGUACCAGCGACGGGCCAAAUUUGUGGCUUUACCGUGUACCAGCGACGGGCCAAAUUUGUGGCUUUACCGUGUACCAGCGACGGGCCAAAUUUCUGCCAUUAUGUCAAUCCCCCAAAAUAGAUGAUGCAUAAACUGAUCACAAAUGCGUUGAUAUAUAUUAUGAAAUGGUUUGCGUGAGUGAUGAUUUUUUCUCGCUUAGAGGGAAGGGCCUUUAAGAAACAAAAUCCCCGCAGCUACCAGGUUAAAGUCAACUAUUAUAAAAAAAAAAAUAGAGAGAGAGAGGAUAGAAGCUUUUGAAAUGCUGCUGGUGUUCGUUUCCCGCCCGUGCUUCUUGUCUUUUAAAACAUUCAUAAUCGCAUUCAUGAGUUGGUUUAUUUAUUUAACCGGUUCUAUUUAUAGCACUGAGGGUCGUGUCUCGGGGCAUGGCGGGGGUUGCAGGCAUUCCUCGUACCCUGUGUCCUCAUUUGUAGCAUUUUACCAUUACUCGGCAUUGAAAUUUGCUUCCUUAUGAUAUUGGUAACUGCGUGCAACAAUAUUUUCACUUAGCUUUGGGGCGGUGCGAGAAACCGAGGGUAUUGGGCCGAGGAAGAAGCAAACAGCGGGCUUUUUUUUCAUCUUGUUUCCUUGUUUUUGCCCUUGAGCUGUUUUCUCUGCUGUAAAAAAAGAAAAAAACAAACAAACUUAUAUUCUGCUCAAUUGUGAACUUAAUUCCCUGAUGUAGCCUUAUUAUUAAAUGUGCCCCCGAGUUACGCACGCUAUUAGAAAGUUCGCUUAUUAACUCAACGUGACGCGAACUUAAGCUUGAAACUACGCACUGCUCUUAUCUGUAACUCGUGCAUUAAUUCCACCUUUCCUCCCCCCCCCUUCCACCACCACCCCCACACACUCCCCCCGCAUUUAUUCUACCUUUCCUCCCCUCCCCCCUUCCCCUUCCCCCUCACACACACACACACACACACCGCCUCCGAAUGGUAUCUCAGGGUGCGUCUCUCUCCACGGGACCUGCGUUGCCCUGACCACAGCCGUUGCCAAGCGUGCCCACAAGGUUGUGCCACUCGCGAAGCUGUUGUGGGGCGCGUGCUGCCACUCAGGCCACCCGCAGCCCGUCACGCGGAUCAUCUCGCUGUGUCAAGGGAACGUUUUUUUGUGUGUUUGUGUAGAUAGAUAGAUAAAGAUGUAGAUAGGUAGAUAGAUAGGAAGAGGAAAUGGAAGGUUAAGAGAAUGAGAAAGGAAGAGAAAGACAUGAUUAGCAAUACAUGAGAGAGAGAGAGAGAGAGAGAGAGAGAGAGAGAGAGAGAGAGAGAGAGAGAGAGAGAGAG